AACACCAUAAAAUGACUUAAUUGCUCUCCCAUAUAAAUUGGGUUACCCAGAAAAUUGCAACCCUCAUUUUGAUUUUGUAGGAAGAGAAACAAAGAGGAGAGAGAUAGAGGAAACCUCUCUUGCCUCCCCCACCUUCUUGUGCUCCACUGGGCACAGAGCGAUGGUUAUGUUCUUGGAUUCAAUGGAUUAUCAUAUGCUAUCAGAGUUAACGAUGCUUUCAACUUCUUGAGAAAGAUGAGCAAAAAAGGUUUAGUUUUAGUGGCUACUGUUGUAAGUUUCAAUGCUCAUAUUGAUGGCUUUUGUAAGGCUUCUGAGCUUGACGAAUCACAUUUAUUAUUGUACAAGAUGAAUUUGUUAUUUAGGUUAUGUUGACAAUUUUUCACAAUUUUAUGGAAACAUUGUUGACAAUUUGAAUGCUUUAAUCUCUGUUGAAGGCUCUUGUGAAAGAUAAAUUGAAGAAACUUGGUAUAAUAUGUAUCCAAAUGAAUGCUUUCGUUUA
Molecule: long non-coding RNA, 499 nt
Organism: Pyrus x bretschneideri (Chinese white pear)
Lineage: Eukaryota; Viridiplantae; Streptophyta; Magnoliopsida; Rosales; Rosaceae
Exons: 2
Source: RefSeq, a predicted model, not a curated record